AAAACGUUCACGAUUACAGAUUCGUUUCAUUAAACAUUUUCUUAACUCCAUCCACCACAAUCUGGCCUUGAAUGUGAGCUUCUCUUCUAAGAGGCGGUGUUGCUGCUAAUAUAAAAAGUUGAGGUCAGGUUGCUGCGUUGAUUUCCUCUCCUUGACAAAGGGAAACAUGAACGGUUAGUGGCUGCACUCAAUCGAUUCGUUUGGGUUUCUUCUUAAAUCGUUAUGGACGUCAAUACGCUUCUCCUUGAAGCCAAGAUGAUGAUUUAAAGUCAAAGUCUUUACAAACUGGGUUUGUCUCUGUAAAUGGUCUUGGCGAUAAGAAGAGCUUUGGUUGCGGUUUCUGUAUUACAGUCAAGAGAUUGCCACGUAUAAAAGAAUUACUAAUGCUCUGCUUCAGAGAAGGUAUGAAGAUACAUAUGGGGAAAUUCAUUGAUGGUACUGUACUAAGAUAAAGGCUGCUUAGUAUAUUAAGACGAGAGUCUGUAGUGGGGACAGGAUAUUACUAAAGAAGACAAAUCUCAGCUAUGCCCAACAGAGUGGUUAUUCCGUUUUGAUAUUGUAAAUAAAUGGAAAGAGUCUUCAACGGUUUCAGUGCUGCCCAAAUGUUUAGAGGAUAUCAAGAUGUCUGGUACGGCCUUACUGGGGAGAAGAGCAUUGUCUUUAAGCCAAUAUACUUUGUUUUGGGAUCUUCUCGAGAUUCCUUUUGUCAAAAAGAGGAAUAGAAUUAUUUUGGUUCAAUGGAAAAUUAGCUCAGAAGUCCAGUGAGAAAGUGUUGAAGGAUUCAAUGAAACCAUCACAAAACAGUUCUAAGGUAAUUUUGUUACUUCAUAAAUUGGUCUAAACAAGCAGAAGAAGAAGGCUAAAGGGAAACCGGAACAUUAUCUUCUGGUUGGAGACAAAAGGCGUGGAAUGCAUUGGAUUGCUUGCUGCAAGAAAUUUUUAUGUCUAAUAAACCAGAGGAGAAGAAGGUGGUCAAGUAAAGUGAUGGAAGAUCUAACUCCAAUGAUGGAGCUAGAAUAGGAGGAAGCUUUAUGCUUGGAUCAACAAGUUCUGCAACCAAGUCUCCACCCACAAGUGUAGACAAGAUAAUCAGUUUUUAUGUUUUUUUGUAUUUAUUAUUUGAUCCCAAUAAUCCAGAAACUACAGUUGAUAGUGACG
Molecule: long non-coding RNA, 1158 nt
Organism: Raphanus sativus (radish)
Lineage: Eukaryota; Viridiplantae; Streptophyta; Magnoliopsida; Brassicales; Brassicaceae
Exons: 6
Source: RefSeq, a predicted model, not a curated record